CGAGGGGGACAAGACGAUCGCGGUGGGUGCCCCGGUGGCCCAUCGAGGAAAGUCCGGGCUCCGCAGGGCAGGGUGCUGGCGCAGGCCAGUCGGGGUGACCCGAAGGAAAGUGCCACAGAAAACAGACCGCCCACGUUCGCGUGGGUCAGGGUGAAAAGGUGCGGUAAGAGCGCACCGGGGACCUGGCGACAGGGACCGCAGGGUAAACCCCACCCGGAGCAAGGCCAAGCAGGGGCAGAGAUCUGGUCGAAAGGCCAGGUCUCAGGGGUGGCCCGCCCCGCCUCGGGUAGCGCCGCUUAGAUGAAUGAUCGCCACCCGGCGGAGGCAACGACGCCGGGGACAGAACCCGGCUUACGACCUCGCUCGACCG
Molecule: RNase P RNA, 370 nt
Filed under: Nannocystis sp.
Lineage: Bacteria; Pseudomonadati; Myxococcota; Nannocystales; Nannocystaceae
Description: RNase P RNA component class A
Rfam family: Bacterial RNase P class A
About the family: Ribonuclease P (RNase P) is a ubiquitous endoribonuclease, found in archaea, bacteria and eukarya as well as chloroplasts and mitochondria. Its best characterised activity is the generation of mature 5'-ends of tRNAs by cleaving the 5'-leader elements of precursor-tRNAs.
Source: RNAcentral